This 443-nucleotide ribosomal RNA is filed under the name uncultured Porphyromonadaceae bacterium. RNAcentral describes it as "bacterial SSU rRNA". It matches the Rfam family "Bacterial small subunit ribosomal RNA", at positions 355 to 794 of the family's 1533-position model. Lineage: Bacteria; Pseudomonadati; Bacteroidota; Bacteroidia; Bacteroidales; Porphyromonadaceae. The record is from RNAcentral.
UGAGGAAUAUUGGGUCAAUGGGGCGAGAGCCUGAACCAGCCAAGUCGCGUGGGGGAGGAAGGUCCUACGGAUUGUAAACUUCUUUAGGGUGGGAACAAAGGACGCCACGCGUGGCGAGAUGAGUGUACCACCAGAAUAAGCAUCGGCUAACUCCGUGCCAGCAGCCGCGGUAAUACGGAGGAUGCGAGCGUUAUCCGGAUUUAUUGGGUUUAAAGGGUGCGUAGGCGGUUUGUCAAGUCAGCGGUCAAACUGCGGGGCUUAACCUCGUAUUGCCGUUGAAACUGGCUGACUAGCGUGGCGUCGAGGUGUGCGGAAUGCGUUGUGUAGCGGUGAAAUGCAUAGAUAUGACGCAGAACUCCGAUUGCGAAGGCAGCACACCGGGCGCCUACGGACGCUGAGGCACGAAAGCGUGGGUAUCGAACAGGAUUAGAUACCCUGGUAGU